UGUUAAGAAGACUGGAGAUGAAGGACUAACUACUGUCUAACCUGAAAUCUUUGGUAGGGGUUUAUGCUGGCAUUGAUCCUGUUUCCAAAAGCAGCUUGCCAUGUUUCUGUGAGAGUCCAAAGAGAUCAGCUAGAACCUGAAAAUAAAGACAGACUGCCAUCAAUUUUGUUUCUUUGACAGCAGAAAAAUUUGCUUCAACAAUAGUGCAGAGAUUAAGGUUUGGGCUGCAAGUGAUGGACACACUAAAGAGCUUAACUCACAGAAGUCAAUGGACUGUGCUGAGUACAUUGUUAUUAGAAAGUGAUGGACACACUAAACAGCUUACCUCACAGAAUUCAAUGAACUGUGCCGAGUACAUUGUUAUAAUAAAGUGAUGGACAGUUGGACACACUAAAUAUCUUAACUUGUAGGAUUCAGUGCACUGUGCUGAGUAACUCUUAUCAACACAGUGAUGGACACACUAAACAGCUUAACUCACAGAAUUUAAUGGAUAUUGCUUGAGUACGUUGUUAUUAUAAAAUGAUGGACACAGUAAAUAGCUUGACUCCAGAAUUCAGUGGACCGUGCUGAGUACAUAACUCAUAAAGGAUAACUCCUGACACAUUCACAGCAGAUCACUCAAAGUUAACUCUGUUAAAUUUGUAA
Long non-coding RNA from Saccostrea cuccullata (small rock oyster), 645 nucleotides. RefSeq lists it as uncharacterized. NCBI's taxonomy places the organism in Eukaryota, Metazoa, Mollusca, Bivalvia, Ostreida, Ostreidae. The transcript is spliced from 3 exons. The record is from RefSeq and is a predicted model, not a curated record.